RNAcentral lists this long non-coding RNA (702 nucleotides) under Piliocolobus tephrosceles (Ugandan red Colobus). RNAcentral describes it as "lncRNA (ENSPTEG00000006280.1)". The record is from RNAcentral. Lineage: Eukaryota; Metazoa; Chordata; Mammalia; Primates; Cercopithecidae.
CUAAUUUUUGUAUUUUUACUAGAGAUGGAGUUUCACCAUAUAUUGGCCAGGCUGGUCUCAAACUCCUGACCUCAAGUGAUCCACCCACCUCGGCCUCCCAAAGUUCUGGGAUUACUGGCAUGAGCCACCGCGCCCAGCCCUGAUUGGACAGUUUCUGAGGGACUUGUGGCACCAUGAAGAGAGGAAGGAGAUGACAUCACCCAUGGAAGGACAUAUAUACCCUGUCCAGUCUUCUUGUUGGCAAAAACACAGUAAGCCAAGUUGACACCUCCCUGAUAAUUCCAGAAGUCCUCUGGACCACUCAGAUUGCCUAAGACCUCCCCGUCUAGAAGAAGAAAUGACAUCCACCCCAAAAAGUAUGUGCCCUGAAAAACAUACCUUCUGAAGUUUCUGUCAACACUACUGGAGACAGAGGUCGGUGGAGCCCGAGUAAAUGUCCAGGUAAGCUGCAUGAAGGGUGGGAGAGUGGCAUGGGCCAUCAGAGCUUAAUUGUACAUUGCUUGGGCAGCCGUGGUUAGAUCUUGAACACCUUGCUCCCAUUCUGUGCUCUAAUCUCUCCACUUGGGCCAUGAGGUAACAGCCAUGCUGGGGGUCAAUGCAGUGGGGAUGUUUCCAUGGUGAUGCCAGAACAGCCCAUGCCACAGCCUGCUGACCUUAUCCUUUGACCUGCCCAGAAGUCCAGAGAUGCUGUGAACGCUUACU